This 3269-nucleotide long non-coding RNA is filed under the name Lupinus angustifolius (narrow-leaved blue lupine). RNAcentral describes it as "long non-coding RNA (LANG_LNC000235)". Lineage: Eukaryota; Viridiplantae; Streptophyta; Magnoliopsida; Fabales; Fabaceae. The record is from RNAcentral.
CAUGAUGAGACUGUCACUAAUGAUCAAAUUGCUGCUGAUCUUAAAGAGCAUGUUAUCAAGCCUGUCAUUCCUGAGAAGUACCUAGAUGAGAAGACCAUCUUUCACCUUAACCCUUCUGGCCGAUUUGUCAUCGGUGGACCUCAUGGUGAUGCUGGUCUCACCGGAAGAAAGAUUAUCAUCGACACUUAUGGUGGCUGGGGUGCUCACGGAGGCGGUGCAUUCUUCUUUAUAUAUUGACUACAUCAUUAGUUUAAAUUCCUUAUAUUUUAAGAGUGAUUGAGUGAAUAAUGAUUAUAGGAAGAAAGACGUAAUAAGCAUCUUUAUCCAGUCAGGGUUGGUGAGUGACCUGCAGUAUCCGGUAUCUCAAAUUUCAUCUCUCACCAACCUCAACAAAUCCCAUUCCUUCAUUUUGGCCGUUAAAUCUAACGGCCAACCACUUCUCCCGGUAACCCCUCAUGUAAGGUGCGUGGCAUUCAUCAAUCUAUGUAUUGAUAGUGUAAUAUGGUAUUAUAGAUUAUUCAUUUUUAAUAUUUAUUAAUGAAUAUUAAAUAAAAUUAUUAUAUAUGAAUAAUGAAUGAUAUAUUAAUUAUGUAUCAUGGUGUUUGUAUCACAUAUUCAUAAAUUUUCUCUCCACUAAAAAGUUUGAUUCAUGUAAACGAUAUUUAUUGGGAAAAACAUAUAGAAUCCUGAAAGAAAUUAAUUACUUACCAUAAAGGUGAUGAUGAAAGGAUACUUUUGGUUAUCUUUGAUUAAAUAUUUAUACAUUAUAAUUCAUUACUAUUAUUAAAUGUAAUAACUAUUUUAAUAUCUAUUAAUUAUUAUAAAUUAUAUAAAUAUAAAAGUGAAGUCGUAAAUUCUUACCCACCCCAUUAGCAUCCCUAUAAAUAAGUGUCCUUAACUAGCAUCAGUCAUUCCAAAUUCUCAGCGAGUGUUGUACACGCGCUCUCGUUUCAACCUCUUUUACUCACUCGCUCCAGGUUCGUAAACCUUCUCGUUCCAUUUUCCUUCUUUGUCUUCUUUUCAAGUAUUUAAAAUUGGAACAUUGUUAUAGAUCUGAAUUUAAUUUAUACCGUUUUUGAGUUUCUGGAUCUGUUAAAGGUUUUUAAGUUUUCAAUUCGUUUUUUUUUGUUUCUAUUUAGAUCUGAUGCUGUUCAUGUAUUAUGAUUUUUCACUAGUGAUUUUAGUUUUGUUGAGGCUGAUUUAGUUGGAUUAGGAUCAUGGGGUCCAAGAUUAGAUUAUUUUCAAUUUGGAACUCAAGAGUUUUGAAAUGGUAUUUGGGAAAGAUUAUUUUUUUAUGCAUAAACUAUUUGUUUGAGUGUUUGGGGUUUUUUUGGUACUACCAACUAUCUAUCACCUUUUGGCUAAGGAACUAUGUGUGUGACCCUCCCAACAAGUGUCGCUGUCAUUAAUCGAAUUUUGACCUUUUGGUCAUCGUGGUAUCUAGCAGCGCCUUACAUUACUCGACCAAGACUGUGUGUAGUGUUUGGGGUUUAAUUAAACUUGCUUAAAAUAUACUACCUGUAUCCCUUUUUAUCUUUCCAUUUGAAGAUUUUUUUUAUCCUAUUUAUUAUCUAUUCAAUUUAGAAUUGUGCAUUAAUUGAUAUUACUAUAUUUAUUGGUGGAAACGUUAAUGGCUACAAAGAUAGAAAUGGUAUAUUAGAAAAAACUAUAUCAUAAUUGUCAUCUAAAUCACCACAAUUGUUUUUGUUUUUAUUUUUUUAAAAUGUGUGUUUUGAAAUGAGACAAAUAAAUAGAACCUAUAAAAAAGGUUUUUUUGUACGUGGAAGAUGAUUCUUGAAGAAGCUGGAUUAUGAAAAUUGAGCAGUAAUUCAAAAACGUUGUUUGAUUAUUUGAAACCUUUUCCCCAUUUCACAAGAAACUACCGAAUAUUAUUUAUCUAUCUAAAUAACUUUUCAUACUAUUUUUGGUUAUUUAGUGUAUGAAGUGAUUUUUUUAGACAACCAAUCAUUUUCAGCAAAACAUCACAUAAGUAUAAUAAAUUGAUUCCAUUAUAAUUGAUUAUGACAAUAAUCAAUUAUUGAAAUAAUUUAUUUUUCAUAGAUAGUUAGUCCAGAGACUCAUUGUGCUUGCUCCCAUGUCUCUUGAAUUUCAAUAUUAGAUUCUGUCCACCUUUAUAUCUUGUGCCCAGGGAAGGGAAUCUAGAUUAUAGUGUAUACUUUAUCUUGUCAUAGUCAGAACCAAAAACUUUUAAAAAGAAAAGUUAAGCUAUUAUCUUGGCAUGAGGUUCCAACUCUUUCUUUCAACUUGUAUUUUAAAAAGCAAUGAUAUGCUUCUGCAUUAUUCCUUUGUAACUACGGAUGAGACUGAGUAAUGAGUAAGCUUGUUUUUCCCAAGAUUUAAUUAUGCAUUUGGUUUUCAAGCUUUUGUAACUACUGAUGUUAAGUAAUACUAAACAUUUUGUUUGUUGUUUUUGUAUAGCUUGAGAAAUGGCAGCAGAGACCUUUCUAUUCACUUCUGAAUCUGUCAAUGAGGGUCACCCUGACAAGCUGUGUGAUCAGAUAUCCGAUGCAGUUCUUGAUGCCUGCCUUGAACAGGAUCCUGACAGCAAGGUUGCCUGUGAGACAUGCACCAAGACUAACAUGGUCAUGGUCUUUGGAGAGAUUACAACCAAGGCCAAUGUUGACUACGAGAAGAUUGUUCGAGACACGUGCCGCAACAUUGGAUUCAUCUCUGAUGAUGUAGGUCUUGAUGCUGACAAGUGCAAGGUUUUGGUCAACAUUGAGCAGCAGAGCCCUGAUAUUGCUCAGGGUGUGCAUGGCCACUUCACUAAGCAACCAGAGGAGGUUGGUGCUGGUGAUCAGGGUCACAUGUUUGGGUAUGCCACUGAUGAAACCCCCGAGUUAAUGCCAUUGAGCCACGUUCUUGCAACCAAAUUAGGAGCUAAGCUUACCGAUGUUAGGAAGAAUGGCACCUGCCCAUGGCUGAGACCAGAUGGUAAGACACAAGUAACUGUUGAGUACUACAAUGAAAAUGGUGCCAUGGUUCCCAUUCGAGUCCACACUGUCCUCAUUUCUACCCAGCAUGAUGAGACUGUCACUAAUGAUCAAAUUGCUGCUGAUCUUAAAGAGCAUGUUAUCAAGCCUGUCAUUCCUGAGAAGUACCUAGAUGAGAAGACCAUCUUUCACCUUAACCCUUCUGGCCGAUUUGUCAUCGGUGGACCUCAUGGUGAUGCUGGUCUCACCGGAAGAAAGAUUAUCAUCGACACUUAUGGUGGCUGGGGUGCUCACGGAGGCGGUGCAUUCUCCGGG